GACGAACGCUGGCGGCGUGCUUAACACAUGCAAGUCGAACGGAAAGGCCCUGCUUUUGUGGGGUGCUCGAGUGGCGAACGGGUGAGUAACACGUGAGUAACCUGCCCUUGACUUUGGGAUAACUUCAGGAAACUGGGGCUAAUACCGGAUAGGAGCUCCUGCUGCAUGGUGGGGGUUGGAAAGUUUCGGCGGUUGGGGAUGGACUCGCGGCUUAUCAGCUUGUUGGGGGGGUAGUGGCUUACCAAGGCUUUGACGGGUAGCCGGCCUGAGAGGGUGACCGGCCACAUUGGGACUGAGAGACGGCCCAGACUCCUACGGGAGGCAGCAGUGGGGAAUAUUGCACAAUGGGCGGAAGCCUGAUGCAGCAACGCCGCGUGCGGGAUGACGGCCUUCGGGUUGUAAACCGCUUUCGCCUGUGACGAAGCGUGAGUGACGGUAAUGGGUAAAGAAGCACCGGCUAACUACGU
This 467-nucleotide ribosomal RNA is filed under the name uncultured bacterium. RNAcentral describes it as "partial 16S ribosomal RNA". It matches the Rfam family "Bacterial small subunit ribosomal RNA", at positions 28 to 506 of the family's 1533-position model. The record is from RNAcentral.